RNAcentral lists this transfer RNA (76 nucleotides) under Thiocystis violacea. Its description in RNAcentral is "tRNA-Lys". It matches the Rfam family "tRNA". From Rfam's summary of the family: Transfer RNA (tRNA) molecules are approximately 80 nucleotides in length. Their secondary structure includes four short double-helical elements and three loops (D, anti-codon, and T loops). Lineage: Bacteria; Pseudomonadati; Pseudomonadota; Gammaproteobacteria; Chromatiales; Chromatiaceae. RNAcentral also lists the same sequence under 21 other names. The record is from RNAcentral.
GGGUCGUUAGCUCAGUUGGUAGAGCAGUGGACUCUUAAUCCAUCGGUCGUAGGUUCGAAUCCUACACGACCCACCA